GGUAAAAUAAGAUAAAGAUCAAGMWGUWGGGUUCAUACCCCAAAAAUGAAUAAUUAAUUCUUUUACAA
Molecule: transfer RNA, 68 nt
Filed under: Rapana venosa (veined rapa whelk)
Lineage: Eukaryota; Metazoa; Mollusca; Gastropoda; Neogastropoda; Muricidae
Description: tRNA-Met
Source: RNAcentral